UAAUCGUGGUGAGGAUAAUUUUUGAACAUGCCCUUAAAUCUUUCCCAAGCUUGGUAAAGAUUUUAUCUUUAUUUUUACUUAAAAUUCAAAAUCUCACUUCUCAAACA
Molecule: non-coding RNA, 107 nt
Organism: Capsicum annuum
Lineage: Eukaryota; Viridiplantae; Streptophyta; Magnoliopsida; Solanales; Solanaceae
Source: Rfam